CAAUAGCGUAUAUUAAAGUUGUUGCAGUUAAAAAGCUCGUAGUUGGAUUUCUGGUAGGAGUGACCGUUCCGAACUUGAUUGUUCGUGUAUUGUGUUUUCUUCAGCCAUCCUUGUGGAGAACUUUUCUUGCAUUAAUUUGUAGGGAUUGGGACCCGCAUCGUUUACUGUGAAAAAAUUAGAGUGUUUAAAGCAGGCAAUCGCUUGAAUACAUUAGUAUGGAAUAAUAAGAUAGGACUUUGGUACUAUUUUGUUGGUUUGCAUACCAAAUUAAUGAUCAACAGGAACAGUUUGAGGAUAUUCGUAUGAACAUGUCAGAGGUGAAAUUCUUGGAUUUUGAUCAGACGAACUACUGCGAAAGCAUUUAUCAAGGAUGUUUUCAUUAA
This 383-nucleotide ribosomal RNA is filed under the name uncultured eukaryote. RNAcentral's name for it is "partial 18S ribosomal RNA". It matches the Rfam family "Eukaryotic small subunit ribosomal RNA", at positions 592 to 976 of the family's 1831-position model. The record is from RNAcentral.